Molecule: ribosomal RNA, 342 nt
Filed under: uncultured bacterium
Lineage: Bacteria
Description: bacterial SSU rRNA
Rfam family: Bacterial small subunit ribosomal RNA
Source: RNAcentral
GACGAACGCUGGCGGCGUGCUUAACACAUGCAAGUCGAGCGGUAAGGCCCUUUCGGGGGUACGACGAGCGGCGAACGGGUGAGUAACACGUGGGUGACCUGCCCUUAGCUCUGGGAUAAGCCUGGGAAACUGGGUCUAAUACCGGAUAUGACUCCAUGACGCAUGUUGUGGGGUGGAAAGCCUUGUGCGGCUAGGGAUGGGCCCGCGGCCUAUCAGCUUGUUGGUGGGGUGAGGCCUACCAAGGCGACGACGGGUAGCCGGCCUGAGAGGGCGACCGGCCACACUGGGGACUGAGACACGGCCCAGACUCCGUACGGGAGGCAGCAGGUGGGGAAUCUUGCG